UGGGGAAUAUUGCGCAAUGGGGGAAACCCUGACGCAGCAACGCCGCGUGAGUGAUGAAGGUCUUCGGAUUGUAAAACUCUGUCUUUGGGGACGAUAAUGACGGUACCCAAGGAGGAAGCCACGGCUAACUACGUGCCAGCAGCCGCGGUAAUACGUAGGUGGCAAGCGUUGUCCGGAUUUACUGGGCGUAAAGAGUAUGUAGGCGGACAUUUAAGUCAGAUGUGAAAUCCCCGGGCUUAACCUGGGAGCUGCAUUUGAUACUGGGUGUCUAGAGUGUAGGAGAGGAAAGUGGAAUUCCUAGUGUAGCGGUGAAAUGCGUAGAGAUUAGGAAGAACACCAGUGGCGAAGGCGACUUUCUGGACUAUAACUGACGCUGAGAUACGAAAGCGUGGGGAGCAAACAGG
RNAcentral lists this ribosomal RNA (404 nucleotides) under uncultured prokaryote. RNAcentral describes it as "bacterial SSU rRNA". It matches the Rfam family "Bacterial small subunit ribosomal RNA", at positions 355 to 776 of the family's 1533-position model. The record is from RNAcentral. RNAcentral also lists the same sequence under 1 other name.